Molecule: long non-coding RNA, 1052 nt
Filed under: Pongo abelii (Sumatran orangutan)
Lineage: Eukaryota; Metazoa; Chordata; Mammalia; Primates; Hominidae
Description: lincRNA
Source: RNAcentral
GCACUGGAGAGAGCGUCUUGUGGUUACGGCCUGCGGCCUGCACCUCAGCUUCCUCCGCACGGUUAUCCCUGUACCCGCCGCCAUCCAUCCUGGCGCUCCGGAUGAGUCAAUGAGGGGCAGCGCCCGAGGAAUGGUCUUCCCAAGAACCCCCGGUGGCCUCCCAAGGCCGGUGCUGUGUACCUCCUCCCCGACAAAAGGGGCAACUGAGGCCCCGAGGGGAGUGGGAAGAGCCGGCUGGACGUCAGGCCCAGCCGCUGGUGCGGUAGUCCGUCCCCUCCGCCGGGGUGGGCCCCUCGGGUUUCGCGUGUCCUCGGGAAAGAGACUGGCGGGCCUCGUGGGCUGUGCGGCUCUCCUGGAGACAGAUGACAGCUCUCCCUUGGAUGGCUUUGCUAGUUUCGCACCAGCCAGCGCCCCAUUUUUCCUGCAGCACCCUGAUCCGCACUCCCUGAGGGGCUCCCACUGUCCGCGGUGUGAGGAUGUCCCUGGUCCACUGUGUGCAGAGGCAUGGGAGUUGUCAUGUCGAUAACAUGCUAGACCUCAGUGUCCUUGAGGGAUGCCGCCUUGGGUCUGGAGACUGUUAGAGGAAACCCCAAGAGGUGCAAGCACUGAGCCUCUCAGGACAAUGACCUGGGAUUCCACCUCCCCUGGAGGGGCCUCCUCAUGAUUGUUUGGGGGUUGAUCACAGACCAAGAGUGAUGAGUGAUGUCACCCUGUGAUGCAUGGCUGGACCUUCUUGCCCCUAUUGUCUCAGCACAACAUUAAUCGACUUUUCCCUCAGCGUGGGUGGGCAGAGGAAAAGCCCUGUGGCUCUGGGGACUUGGGAUCCAGAGUUGAAGACCCUUCAGCUGGCUCUGCCCUGCCAGUGCCACAGAGUGCCAUGGCCCAGGAAGACUGGUUUUCUUCCAUCUAGGCCAGGCCAUCCAGUGGCCAUCCUUCGUGUCCUCCCACCUCCUUCUGGUGUGACUUCUGAAAACCAAGAAUUUGUUCCUGUUGACUUUUUCUGUGCUAUGGACCAUUGUCCUCUGACCCACUCAAUAAAUCUUGAAACAUGC